This 308-nucleotide unclassified non-coding RNA is filed under the name plant metagenome. Its description in RNAcentral is "partial contains small subunit ribosomal RNA, internal transcribed spacer 1, and 5.8S ribosomal RNA". The record is from RNAcentral.
UUUCCGUAGGUGAACCUGCGGAGGGAUCAUUAUUGAAAUAAAAACUUGGUUGGGGGUUGCUGCUGGCUCUCAGGAGCAUGUGCACACUCGCUCCAUUUUUUAAUACCACCUGUGCACACACUGUAGGCCUGAAUGAACUUUUUCGAGGUUUAAAAACUUUGGUUUGAGAACUGCCUUUGGGCUGUUCUUGUGUUCCCAGGUCUAUGUUUUAAACAAUAUACUCCAUAACAAGUAAUAGAAUGUCAAAUUAUGGGCCUUUUGUGCCUUUAAACCUAAUACAACUUUCAACAACGGAUCUCUUGGCUCUC